This 555-nucleotide ribosomal RNA is filed under the name uncultured bacterium. Its description in RNAcentral is "bacterial SSU rRNA". It matches the Rfam family "Bacterial small subunit ribosomal RNA", at positions 777 to 1327 of the family's 1533-position model. The record is from RNAcentral.
AAUAGAUACCCCGGUAGUCCACGCCGUAAACGAUGAGUGCUAAGUGUUAGGGGGUUUCCGCCCCUUAGUGCUGCAGCUAACGCAUUAAGCACUCCGCCUGGGGAGUACGGUCGCAAGACUGAAACUCAAAGGAAUUGACGGGGGCCCGCACAAGCGGUGGAGCAUGUGGUUUAAUUCGAAGCAACGCGAAGAACCUUACCAGGUCUUGACAUCCCAUUGACCACUAUGGAGACAUAGUUUUCCCCCUCGGGGACAACGGUGACAGGUGGUGCAUGGUUGUCGUCAGCUCGUGUCGUGAGAUGUUGGGUUAAGUCCCGCAACGAGCGCAACCCUUGUUCUUAGUUGCCAUCAUUUAGUUGGGCACUCUAAGGAGACUGCCGGUGACAAACCGGAGGAAGGUGGGGAUGACGUCAAAUCAUCAUGCCCCUUAUGACCUGGGCUACACACGUGCUAACAAUGGACGGUACAAACGGUUGCCAACCCGUGAGGGGGAGCUAAUCCGAUAAAAACCGUUCUCAGUUCGGAUUGUAGGCUGCAACUCGCCUACAUGAAGCC